CUAGCCGUAAACGAUGGAUACUAGGUGUUAGAGGUAUCGACCCCUCUAGUGCCGCAGCUAACGCAUUAAGUAUCCCGCCUGGGGAGUACGACCGCAAGGUUGAAACUCAAAGGAAUUGACGGGGGCCCGCACAAGCGGUGGAGCAUGUGGUUUAAUACGUCACUAACCGUAGAACCUUACCCAGGCUUGACAUCUGGUGUAAGUCCAUGAAAGUGGUACCCCGCUAUAGCAAUAUAGCGCACCAAGACAGGUGU
This 254-nucleotide ribosomal RNA is filed under the name uncultured Armatimonadota bacterium. Its description in RNAcentral is "uncultured Armatimonadetes bacterium partial 16S ribosomal RNA". It matches the Rfam family "Bacterial small subunit ribosomal RNA", at positions 796 to 1041 of the family's 1533-position model. Lineage: Bacteria; Bacillati; Armatimonadota. The record is from RNAcentral.